Molecule: ribosomal RNA, 160 nt
Filed under: Nymphoides aquatica
Lineage: Eukaryota; Viridiplantae; Streptophyta; Magnoliopsida; Asterales; Menyanthaceae
Description: 5.8S ribosomal RNA
Rfam family: 5.8S ribosomal RNA
About the family: 5.8S ribosomal RNA (5.8S rRNA) is a component of the large subunit of the eukaryotic ribosome. It is transcribed by RNA polymerase I as part of the 45S precursor that also contains 18S and 28S rRNA.
Source: RNAcentral
AUGACUCUCGGCAACGGAUAUCUCGGCUCUCGCAUCGACGAAGAACGUAGCGAAAUGCGAUACUUGGUGUGAAUUGCAGAAUCCCGUGAACCAUCGAGUUUUUGAACGCAAGUUGCGCCCGAAGCCGUUAGGCUAAGGGCACCUUUGCCUGGGCGUCGUA